This 301-nucleotide ribosomal RNA is filed under the name uncultured bacterium. RNAcentral describes it as "partial 16S ribosomal RNA". It matches the Rfam family "Bacterial small subunit ribosomal RNA", at positions 509 to 808 of the family's 1533-position model. The record is from RNAcentral.
CAGUCGCCACGGUAAUACGUAGGUGGCAAGCGUUGUCCGGAAUUAUUGGGCGUAAAGGGAGCGCAGGCGGACAUAUAAGUCCAUCUUAAAAGUGCGGGGCUCAACCCCGUGAGGGGAUGGAAACUGUAUGCCUUGAGUGCAGGAGAGGAAAGCGGAAUUCCCAGUGUAGCGGUGAAAUGCGUAGAUAUUGGGAGGAACACCAGUGGCGAAGGCGGCUUUCUGGACUGUAACUGACGCUGAGGCUCGAAAGCCAGGGGAGCGAACGGGAUUAGAUACCCCUGUAGUCCCUGUCUCUUAUACC